Molecule: ribosomal RNA, 253 nt
Filed under: uncultured bacterium
Lineage: Bacteria
Description: partial 16S ribosomal RNA
Rfam family: Bacterial small subunit ribosomal RNA
Source: RNAcentral
UACAGAGGGUGCGAGCGUUAAUCGGAAUUACUGGGCGUAAAGCGCACGUAGGCGGCUUGGUAUGUCGGGUGUGAAAUCCCCGGGCUCAACCUGGGAACUGCAUCCGAAACUGCCUUGCUAGAGUAUGGGAGAGGGAAGUGGAAUUUCCGGUGUAGCGGUGAAAUGCGUAGAUAUCGGAAGGAACAUCAGUGGCGAAGGCGGUCUGCUGGGCCGUUGCUGACGCUGAGGCGCGACAGCGUGGGGAGCAAACAGG